Long non-coding RNA from Ailuropoda melanoleuca (giant panda), 1185 nucleotides. RefSeq lists it as uncharacterized. NCBI's taxonomy places the organism in Eukaryota, Metazoa, Chordata, Mammalia, Carnivora, Ursidae. The transcript is spliced from 4 exons. The record is from RefSeq and is a predicted model, not a curated record.
GUCCUUAGUACUGAGCAUGCCCAGUAGAGAUGCCCCGCCCCGAGCAUGGAAGGGGCGGGUGGGAGGGCGCGGUCGAUCUCAGCCCCGCCCUAAAGGGGCGGUGCCAAGAGCUGUAGAAGACCUGAAGCGUGGGGUGGAGUCCCCUUGCACCACCCACUGAGGAUUGGGAUUAAAACGCAGCUGGAAGCGGCCGUUUUGUCCUGCCAACAGUUUAUUGAUGUUAAUAGGACCAGGAAAAGGAAGAGACAAAGAAUGCAUUCUCUCUUCUAGAGUCUUCAAAGGGAGAAUAGUCCUGCCAACUCCUUCAUUUCACACUUUUGGUCUCCAAAACUAUCCAACCAACUCUGUGAAUGGCAGGGAACUGAAUGUAUGGAUUCCUGAAAAAUAAAGGGACACAAAAGUAAGACACAGCCUGACAUGAAGAGUCAUGACAACCACAGAUAGGUGAGUGCAUAGGUGUAAAAGGUAGUUAAAAAACAAAAUGUAUGGAAUUGUUGGAUCAUUAUAUUGUAUACCUGAAACUAGUAACACUGUAUGUUAACUAUACUGGAAAUAAAGUGAAAGAAAAAACAAAAAACAAAAGCAAAAACAAAACAAAAAAACCCCAGGGAAUUCAAACAGUCACAUCUAAUUGGGAGAAUCAGGAAAGCAUUCGUGGACAAGGGGUGCCCCCUUUAAUGUGAGCUAGGUUCUACAGGAUGAGAAAGAUUAUUGUUUCAAAUUAUACUUAUUUGCUUUUUGUAAAAGUCAUCCCCCCACUCUGAGUUCCUUGUGUUUAUUUUUCUUCCAGAAUAAAUUUAUGUGCGGACCAACAAAACUGAGUAUAAAUACUUAACACGCUUAUUUCAAUACAUCUUAAAAGUGAAGCUUAACAUACACAGAACAGUACACAAAUUACACGUACAACUGGAUGCAUUUUCCCACAGUGCACACCAAUGUAAUCUCUACUCAGAUGAGAAACAGAACAUUACCAAGCAUGACAGAAGUCCCCUUUGUGCUACCUCUCACCGUUAAUCCUCACCCACAGGUAUACACUAUCCUGACUUCCUUUUUUAAAAAAAUUUUUUAUUUGAGUUAGAGAGAGAGCACGCACGAGUGCACGAGUGCACACACACAGCGGGCAGGGGCAGAGGGAGAAGGAGAGAGAAACAAUCACAAGCAGAUUUCCUGAGUGUGGACCCCGAC